CUUCGGGUUGUAAACUGCUUUUAUCUGUGACGAUUAUGACGGUAGCAGAUGAAUAAGGAUCGGCUAACUCCGUGCCAGCAGCCGCGGUCAUACGGAGGAUCCAAGCGUUAUCCGGAAUUACUGGGCGUAAAGAGUUGCGUAGGCGGUUAAGUAAGUUGGUAGUGAAAGCGUGGGGCUCAACCUCAUAUCCAUUACCAAAACUGCUUUGACUAGAGAAUGAGAGAGGUCGCUGGAAUUUCUUGUGUAGGAGUGAAAUCCGUAGAUAUAAGAAGGGACACCGAUGGCGUAGGCAGGCGACUGGCUCAUUUCUGACGCUCAGGCACGAAAGCGUGGGGAGCGACCGGGAUUAGAUACCCCGUUAGUCCACGCCGUAAACGAUGGAUGCUAGCUGUUACCCGUAUCGACCCGGGUAGUAGCGAAGCUAACGCGUUAAGCAUCCCGCCUGUGGAGUACGAGCGCAAGCUUAAAACAUAAAGGAAUUGACGGGGACCCGCACAAGCGGUGGAGUGUGUUCUUUAAUUCGAUGGUAAGCGAAGAACCUUACCCAGGCUCGAACGGUAGACGACAUCCGGCGAAAGCCGGCUCCCGCAAGGGCGUCUGUCGAGGUGCUGCAUGGCUGUCGUCAGCUCGUGUCGUGAGAUGUUGGGUUAAGUCCCGCAACGAGCGCAACCCUUGUCUUCUGUUGCCAUCAGGUCACGCU
Molecule: ribosomal RNA, 700 nt
Filed under: uncultured Trichodesmium sp.
Lineage: Bacteria; Bacillati; Cyanobacteriota; Cyanophyceae; Oscillatoriales; Microcoleaceae
Description: partial 16S ribosomal RNA
Rfam family: Bacterial small subunit ribosomal RNA
Source: RNAcentral